Molecule: long non-coding RNA, 394 nt
Filed under: Chrysemys picta bellii (western painted turtle)
Lineage: Eukaryota; Metazoa; Chordata; Testudines; Emydidae
Description: lncRNA (ENSCPBG00000010471.1)
Source: RNAcentral
CAGCGUGCUCCGCGCGGGCCGCCGCGGCUGACGGCGCCCUUCCUGUGCGCGCGCCGCGCUGCGGGGAGCGGCCGGAUAUACCCGCCUGGGCCGCGCGCUGCGAGGAGGAGCGGUUGGGCCGCGCUCCGUGAGCAGGAGGAGGAAGGAGGGAGAGCUUGAUUGAAAGCAGCAUGGAAGAUUCUCUUGGGGACCUGUCCAUUCAGAGAGAUGCCAUCCUGUCUGAGUUGUACCAUAUUCAGAUCACCACCAAGAAACUGGUGCAGGAGCUGAGAUCCUUGGUGGCUUUAACUGACCCAGAGGAAGGGAAAUUGUUUCAGUCUCAAGAGACAGCUUUAAAGUCACUGGAUAUUUGGAAGACCUUAUUUGCUGCAGCUGGGCCUAAGCCAGAGAGCAC